AAAGGAAUAGACGGGGACUCGCACAAGCAGUGGAGCAUGCGGUUUAAUUCGAUGCAACGCGAAGAACCUUACCAGGUCUUGACAUCCCAAUGACAGCUUUAGAGAUAAAGCCUUCCUUCGGGACAAUGGAGACAGGUGGUGCAUGGUUGUCGUCAGCUCGUGUCGUGAGAUGUUGGGUUAAGUCCCGCAACGAGCGCAACCCCUAUCAUUAGUUGCUAGCAUUAAGUUGAGCACUCUAAUGAGACCGCCGGUGACAAACCGGAUGAAGGUGGGGACGACGUCAAAUCAUCAUGCCCCUUAUGACCUGGGCUACACGCGUGCUACAAUGGCUAGUACAAAGAGUUGCGAUACCGCGAGGUGGAGCUAAUCUCACAAAACUAGUCUCAGUUCGGAUUGUAGUCUGCAACUCGACUACAUGAAGUUGGAAUUGCUAGUAAUCGCGAAUCAGAAUGUCGCGGUGAAUACGUUCUCGAGUCUUGUACACACCGCCCGU
This 493-nucleotide ribosomal RNA is filed under the name uncultured bacterium. RNAcentral describes it as "bacterial SSU rRNA". It matches the Rfam family "Bacterial small subunit ribosomal RNA", at positions 903 to 1397 of the family's 1533-position model. The record is from RNAcentral.